AGGACGAACGCUGGCGGCGUGCUUAACACAUGCAAGUCGAGCGGAAAGGCCCUUCGGGGUACUCGAGCGGCGAACGGGUGAGUAACACGUGAGUAAUCUGCCUUCAGCUCUGGGAUAGCUCCGGGAAAACCGGGAUUAAUACCGGAUAUGACCACUUCGGACAUCUGUUGUGGUGGAAAGUUUUUCGGCUGGAGAUGAGCUCGCGGCCUAUCAGCUUGUUGGUGGGGUAACGCUUACCAAGGCGACGACGGGUA
Molecule: ribosomal RNA, 254 nt
Filed under: uncultured bacterium
Lineage: Bacteria
Description: partial small subunit ribosomal RNA
Rfam family: Bacterial small subunit ribosomal RNA
Source: RNAcentral